CCCUGUAUACUCGACCGCAAUAUAGAAGCUUACUGCAUUAUUAAAAUUUAUGGCAAUUUUCAAAUACUGUUUAAGUGCUAUAUCAUUUGAAGGUGUCGAAAAAUCUAUGACUCUAUGAUCAAGUUAAAGCAAUAGAAAGGAUAGGAAAUGAUGCGGAAGAAACGUGAUUCAAGUUUGAGGUCACUACAAAUAAAUGGACGAAAAAAAGAUACUGAAAUAGAGAAAACGAGUCAGGAUUGAUGGGAGGGAUCAAUUCUAUUGCAUUUCACUAAAAAAAAGAAUGGCAAAAAUUUUCGCAUAACUUCAGACAUAUUUCAAUAUAUUUGCAAUAGAUCUUUGAGCUAAAGAAAAUUGCAAACUCUACAUAAAUUAGCAUCUUGUAGAUAAUAUUGCAUUGUAAGGAAUCAAUUUGGCACCCACAAAUGAGUUGUGCUUAUACGCCUAUAUGAUUUUGGUAAUGCAAUUAUUAUAGAAUUUGCACAUGAUAAAUUAAGUAGUUUCAUUAGCUUUUGAAAUUAUAUGUGGUAUACUUAAUAUUAUUGGCGCAACAGAUGGGAUCCAUGUUCCUAUUUUGGCACCAUCCAAUGGAUAGAGUGACCUUAUUACUAGAAAAGGAUCGACCUUUUAAGACCUCUGUUUUAGGUAUGCAAGUUGCUAGCAUCUUGGCAAUGCUUAUGAUGCAAAGGUUCUCAAAAACUUAAAUUUGUGUCGGAA
Molecule: long non-coding RNA, 714 nt
Organism: Anthonomus grandis grandis
Lineage: Eukaryota; Metazoa; Arthropoda; Insecta; Coleoptera; Curculionidae
Exons: 3
Source: RefSeq, a predicted model, not a curated record